GACGAACGCUGGCGGCGUGCUUAACACAUGCAAGUCGAACGGAAAGGCCCUGCUUUUGUGGGGUGCUCGAGUGGCGAACGGGUGAGUAACACGUGAGUAACCUGCCCUUGACUUUGGGAUAACUUCAGGAGACUGGGGCUAAUACCGGAUAGGAGCUCCUGCUGCAUGGUGGGGGUUGGAAAGUUUCGGCGGUUGGGGAUGGACUCGCGGCUUAUCAGCUUGUUGGUGGGGUAGUGGCUUACCAAGGCUUUGACGGGUAGCCGGCCUGAGAGGGUGACCGGCCACAGUGGGACUGAGAUACGGCCCAGACUCCUACGGGAGGCAGCAGUGGGGAAUAUUGCACAAUGGGCGGAAGCCUGAUGCAGCAACGCCGCGUGCGGGAUGACGGCCUUCGGGUUGUAAACCGCUUUCGCCUGUGACGAAGCGUGAGUGACGGUAAUGGGUAAAGAAGCACCGGCUAACUACGUG
This 468-nucleotide ribosomal RNA is filed under the name uncultured bacterium. Its description in RNAcentral is "partial 16S ribosomal RNA". It matches the Rfam family "Bacterial small subunit ribosomal RNA", at positions 28 to 507 of the family's 1533-position model. The record is from RNAcentral.